This 3057-nucleotide long non-coding RNA is filed under the name Mus musculus (house mouse). RNAcentral's name for it is "long non-coding RNA chr6:40481643-40484700". The record is from RNAcentral. Lineage: Eukaryota; Metazoa; Chordata; Mammalia; Rodentia; Muridae.
GAUCUUUCUCUGGUGCUCGGGAUUAAACCUAUGGUCAUGUUAGGCAGGCCGUCUCCCGUUGAGCUGUACCUACUUCAAAGAUCUUUUACCUUCGACUUUGCCUCCCUAGAGAGUCUGGAUAUAUUUAGUUAAUUUUGUUGUAAAUUUACUAGUAAUUUACCAAUAAAGAGUAUAUAAACUCAGUUUUUUAUAUCUUUUUUUCUUUUAAAUUUUGUAUAAGCCAUCCAUAGUCAGCCUGCAGCUUUCCAGAAGUUUGUUGCUGUGUUUAGUGUUUGAAAUUCCUCAUUCUGUCUGUUCCGUGCUGCCCCUCCGGCCCCUGCUCCCCAGCUCAGCCUAUGUGUUUGAUCUUUGCCUUGAGAGUUUAGAUUAUGUUGGACUCUAAGAAGUUCCGGAUCCCUGCUCAGUGUUAUGGACUCUUGCUUUCUAAAGUGAUUCCUGUAUACCUGAACGGCCUUUCUGUCCUGACAGUAACGUUUGUUCCUUAGCUUUACCCCAUCCUUACCCAGAGACAGAGGAGUUGCUGUCCUCCCUAUCUGCCUACUUUUUCUGCCACUGGGAUCAUUGGUCAACAUACUAGAUCUUCCUGUGAUUACACCUAGAUCUGAUAGGACACUGUUCUGUUUGAGCAACUCUCAUGUCAUUUUCUCAGCUUUCAUAAUUUUAAACAUUGUGAGGGGCUAUGUGUAUAACUGAGUGAAAUUUAAACAAGGUGGAGGUGGAAAAAUCUCAUCCUGUACAGGAACCAACUGGAAGCCAAAGCCACUCCUGAGUGUAGGCUGCAGAAGUAGAGCAGUGCGUCUGCAGGAUUGUCUCCAGGAGCUAAAGACUGCCUGCCCUCCGUGACUCAGAAAGGCUGAGAGGCGGAGGCAGCAGCACUUCACUCAGGCUGACUCUUCUGCCUUCCUUGUGAUGUCAGCCGAUUCCAAGCCAGUCAGAUCUGCUGGAGCCUAAUCACAUGCAGCCCCAUCUGCUGAGAAACCUCACUGCUCCCAGCUUCACCCGGCACUGAGUAGACCUGUAGAAGCUAACAGCACUAAGACACUCUAGGGACUUGUAAUUCAAGUUUGGGGUCUUGAAACUUCUGUUUUUGAUGUGAUUAUAUUGGGGCUUAAAAAUGCCCUGCAAGUUCGUUGAGAUUUUAUUCUAUAUUAAAUGGAAAGAUGACUACAUAGAAAAGUAGGAGAAAACAUGUCAAACAGUAUGUGUCAUAGUAUCCAAUUUUUUAAAAAUUAUGUUUCAAAAGUAAGGAGGAUAUAUAUGCUUUAAAAGGCUGAAAGAGAAAUGGCAAAUGCUUUGAUUUUCUAUAGGGGUAUUGUGUGUAGAUUGUUUAUACUUCUCGUGCAUGCUUUUAAGAACAGAAAGUGUAUUUUAAGAUGGGGGGGGGCUCUUUUCUAAGUCACAGAGCAUUGCUCCUGCUCAUCCUGCAGCCAGUGCUACUUCAUACACUGGAGUGAUGAAGAAAGCUUUCCUUCUGUACAUACCCCUGGCCAUAUGCACUUUAGCAUCUUAUACUUGUGUACUGUGUCUUCACUCACCCGUUAAUAGUGUGUGCAUGGCUCUGAAGGCUGCAUUUCAAAGAUGGGCCAGUGUGAAAACCACUGAUCACUUCCACUACAAUUCUCAGACUGGAUGAUUAACUCAUACAACCUCAAACACCAAACACAUUGUUUCUGAGGCUGUUCAGGGAGAUUGGUUAUUGCUCAUCAAGUUAUAUAAGCUAAGCUUAAUAGCUGGGUAAGAAAAUUAUUGAGAAAAUUUCCCUUGUUCACAAAAGAGACCACUUAAUUCUUAAAAUCAGUUUCUCAUCUACUCAGAUUACCCCAAUGCCCCUCGUUAGCUCAGCCUAGCACAGUGACAUUGUACUGUCCUGCUCAUUCAUUGGCAUGGAAAUAUUGACAUGGAAAUGAGAGUCGGAUCAUCUUUCUUACUUUCUUUCAGGCUUUGCAUUAUGUGCUGUGAAGACUAGUGGGAGUAGCAGCAAGACAAAUAUAGCAAAGGAGCAGUGCUCUCUCGGGUUAGUAAGUUAAAGGGAAACAACUGAGACAGUGGCCAUCAGUGUAGUAAUGACUGAGCCUCCUUCGUCCAUUGGAUGAGUCAAGUAUUGUGCUAAACACAUCAUAUUAUUGUCUCAUGUAACUUUUCCAAGAAGAAAGUGACAGUAUCAUUUUACAGAUGAAAUUCAGAAACAAAAAGGUUAAAACAAUGUCCAAGCCAUACAGUGGGACUUUGAAUGCAGGUAUGUGAACUUUUAGCUUUCUUCCAUUGACACUUAUAUUCCACUGGCCAGAUGUAGCUCCAGCCACCCAGUGUUAAACUGGAAUGCCCCAUAUAGGGUGCUUCUUAAUAUACUAGAAAUAAAUGAUAGGUUUCAGUUAGGGAGAGGCUCACAAGUGAAGGAAAUACUCUACCUCCUGGUCUCUGUUGGUGAUCCUGUAGGAAAACAAGUCAUAGUUCCUCUACUGGCUUCUGACAAUCAAAGUAACUUCACUGUGUCUCCUGGUUCCACUGUUGACCAACCAAGCACUGAAAUUGUCAGGACUGCUCAGGAAGUUUUCAAGCUCACUACUUGACACCAGUAGAACUGAAGUUUGUUCUCAUAUCUCAGUUUUCCUCUUUGUUUCCUCAUAGCUUUACCUAGUAUAAUAGUGGGUAACUUCCAUGGUUAUUGAAGCAUCAUUUUUAGCUUAUUAAAAGAACUUCAGUUAUUUGCUUGCUGCUGUGUUUUAGACCACAGGGAUUUAUUUUGCUAUAAGAGUGUAUAACAACUAUAUCACCCUUCAGGCUAUAUCUACUUUCUCUACUUAGUGUCUUGUUUUAAAAGAAAAAGCAAAAGGGUAAUAAUCUCUAGUAGUAAAGUCAAAGGUAAGGCUAUGCAGUCAAGCAACUCAGGUCUCCUUACCAGCUGAAUAUAAGCCACUUCAUUUUCUCUGCUCUCGGUUGUUUUGUUUUUCUUGGGUGAAACAAGGAUAGUUGUACCUACCUCAUAGACCUGCUUUGAAAAACACAAUAAAUAUAAUAUUUGUGACAUAAAAUUGUAAAUAAAAACUCUGCUACUUU